CGAUUACGGCUCAGUAACACGUAACUAAUCUACCCUUAAGUCAGGAUAACCUCGGGAAACUGAGGCUAAACCUGAUAGGAGAUUUACCCUGGAAUGAUUUAUCUCUUAAACUCGUGCUUAAGGAUGAGGUUGCGGCGGAUUAGGUUGUUGGCGGGGUAAAAGCCCACCAAGCCUGUGAUCUGUAAGGGCUCUUAGCGGAGAGGCCCUGAGAGGGAAUCUGAGACACUAUUCCCAGCCCUACGGGGUGCAGCAGUUAGGAAUAUUUUGCAAUGCGCGCAAGCGUGACAAAUUGAGCCAGAGUGCUUUUCUAUUUGAAAAGCUUUUGUGAAAUGUAAAAAGUUUUACGAAUAAGGACUGGGUAAGACUAGUGCCAGCCGCCGCGGUAAUACUAGCGGUCCAAGUCGCAGCCAUUUUUAUUGGGUCUAAAACAUCCGUAGCUUGCUUUGUAAGUUUCUUGUGAAAUUUUAUAUCUCAAAUAUAAAGCGUGCAAGAAGUACUGUAAAGCUAGAGACUGGUAGACGUAAGAAGUACGAAUAAAGUAGCGGUAAAAUG
This 552-nucleotide ribosomal RNA is filed under the name uncultured euryarchaeote. RNAcentral describes it as "bacterial SSU rRNA". It matches the Rfam family "Archaeal small subunit ribosomal RNA", at positions 80 to 639 of the family's 1478-position model. Lineage: Archaea; Methanobacteriati; Methanobacteriota. The record is from RNAcentral.